GCGCCUCUAGCUCAACUGGCAGAGCAUCGGACUCUUAAUCCGCAGGUUCUGGGUUCAAGUCCCAGGGGGCGCACCA
Molecule: transfer RNA, 76 nt
Filed under: Acidimicrobiia bacterium
Lineage: Bacteria; Bacillati; Actinomycetota; Acidimicrobiia
Also listed under: 1 other name
Description: tRNA-Lys
Rfam family: tRNA
About the family: Transfer RNA (tRNA) molecules are approximately 80 nucleotides in length. Their secondary structure includes four short double-helical elements and three loops (D, anti-codon, and T loops).
Source: RNAcentral